Molecule: non-coding RNA, 80 nt
Organism: Cordylochernes scorpioides
Lineage: Eukaryota; Metazoa; Arthropoda; Arachnida; Pseudoscorpiones; Chernetidae
Source: the annotation of a GenBank genome assembly
GUAUUUUGAACAAGCCUAGUGGACAUGGCAUCUGCCCGGUAAGCGGAACAUUGUGGGUUCGAUUCCUAUCCCUGGAUACU